Molecule: ribosomal RNA, 467 nt
Filed under: uncultured bacterium
Lineage: Bacteria
Description: partial 16S ribosomal RNA
Rfam family: Bacterial small subunit ribosomal RNA
Source: RNAcentral
GACGAACGCUGGCGGCGUGCUUAACACAUGCAAGUCGAACGGAAAGGCCCUGCUUUUGUGGGGUGCUCGAGUGGCGAACGGGUGAGUAACACGUGAGUAACCUGCCCUUGACUUUGGGAUAACUUCAGGAAACUGGGGCUAAUACCGGAUAGGAGCUCCUGCUGCAUGGUGGGGGUUGGAAAGUUUCGGCGGUUGGGGAUGGACUCGCGGCUUAUCAGCUUGCUGGUGGGGUAGUGGCUUACCAAGGCUUUGACGGGUAGCCGGCCUGAGAGGGUGACCGGCCACAUUGGGACUGAGAUACGGCCCAGACUCCUACGGGAGGCAGCAGUGGGGAAUAUUGCACAAUGGGCGGAAGCCUGAUGCAGCAACGCCGCGUGCGGGAUGACGGCCUUCGGGUUGUAAACCGCUUUCGCCUGUGACGAAGCGUGAGUGACGGUAAUGGGUAAAGAAGCACCGGCUAACUACGU